RNAcentral lists this ribosomal RNA (468 nucleotides) under uncultured bacterium. RNAcentral describes it as "partial 16S ribosomal RNA". It matches the Rfam family "Bacterial small subunit ribosomal RNA", at positions 28 to 507 of the family's 1533-position model. The record is from RNAcentral.
GACGAACGCUGGCGGCGUGCUUAACACAUGCAAGUCGAACGGAAAGGCCCUGCUUUUGUGGGGUGCUCGAGUGACGAACGGGUGAGUAACACGUGAGUAACCUGCCCUUGACUUUGGGAUAACUUCAGGAAACUGGGGCUAAUACCGGAUAGGAGCUCCUGCUGCAUGGUGGGGGUCGGAAAGUUUCGGCGGUUGGGGAUGGACUCGCGGCUUAUCAGCUUGUUGGUGGGGUAGUGGCUUACCAAGGCUUUGACGGGUAGCCGGCCUGAGAGGGUGACCGGCCACAUUGGGACUGAGAUACGGCCCAGACUCCUACGGGAGGCAGCAGUGGGGAAUAUUGCACAAUGGGCGGAAGCCUGAUGCAGCAACGCCGCGUGCGGGAUGACGGCCUUCGGGUUGUAAACCGCUUUCGCCUGUGACGAAGCGUGAGUGACGGUAAUGGGUAAAGAAGCACCGGCUAACUACGUG